GCAAUCGCUAAGAGAGUUAGAGAGACCCAAGAAGACAAGGCGGAAGUGAAGACACCGGGUGCCCUGAAUGCUAGAUUUCCAUUGGUCCGCAAAGGAAAGGGAAUUGACUCCGAGCGAGGCCAUUUUUGUUUGGGGCAAAACAAAUUGGCGCCCGCUUUGAUGGAGUCUACUUGGGAGCAGUGUUUCUAGGUUUUGGUGGCUGAAAAUAUAUGGUUUCACUCAUUCUCUGAUAUUGAUAUGAUUAACUGCUUGUGAGUUCAUGAUGGAAAGCUCAUGGAGGAGACAAUUUUGAAAAGAGUCUCUGGAGCAGAUCACUCAAGAUCUCUAACAAGAUCGAAAUCUGGGGUUCAGCCUGUGCUCCAGUCUCAUUUAAAGCCAUCAACAGAUGAAUGGGUGAAGAAGAUGUGGUAUAAGUAUGCAAUGGA
Phacochoerus africanus (Common warthog) is the source of this 425-nucleotide long non-coding RNA. RefSeq lists it as uncharacterized. NCBI's taxonomy places the organism in Eukaryota, Metazoa, Chordata, Mammalia, Artiodactyla, Suidae. The transcript is spliced from 3 exons. The record is from RefSeq and is a predicted model, not a curated record.